AACGAACGCUGGCGGUAUGCUUAACAUAUGCAAGUCGAACGGGUGUAGCAAUACAUCAGUGGCAAACGGGUGAGGAAUAUAGAGGAAUCUACCCAGCAGUAAGAAAUAACUUUGGGAAACCAAAGCUAAUGCCAUAUAUCACCGAUUUAUCGGGAAAGAUUUAUCGCUGUUGGAUGAGCCUCUAUCGGAUUAGCUAGUUGGUAGGGUAAUGGCCUACCAAGGCAAUGAUCCGUAGCUGGUCUGAGAGGAUGAUCAGCCACACUGGAACUGAGACACGGCCCAGACUCCCACGGGAGGCAGCAGUGGGGAAUAUUGGACAAUGGGGGGAACCCUGAUCCAGCCAUGCCGCGUGUGUGAAGAAGGCCUUAUGGUUGUAAAGCACUUUAAGCGAGGAGGAGGCUACUGAGACUAAUACUCUUGGAUAGUGGACGUUACUCGCAGAAUAAGCACCGGCUAACUCUGUGCCAGCAGCCGCCGUAA
Molecule: ribosomal RNA, 480 nt
Filed under: uncultured bacterium
Lineage: Bacteria
Description: partial 16S ribosomal RNA
Rfam family: Bacterial small subunit ribosomal RNA
Source: RNAcentral